AGCAGCCGCGGUAAUUCCAGCUCCAAUAGCGUAUAUUAAAGUUGUUGCAGUUAAAAGCUCGUAGUUGAAUUUCGGGGUCAAUAUGUCGGUCGUGCCUUGGUACGUACUGGUAUCAUUGGUCUCUCCUUUCUGACGAACCAUGAUGUCAUUAAUUUGGUGUUAUGGGAAGUUAGGACUGUUACUUUGAAAAAUUGAGUGUUUAAAGCAGGCUUUAGCUUGAAUACAUUAGCAUGGAAUAAUGAAGUAGGACGUUCGAACCUAUUUUGUUGGUUUCUAGGAUCAACGUAAUGAUUAAUAGGGGUAUUGGGGGCAUUAGUAUUCAAUUGCAGAGGUGAAAUUCUUGGAUUUAUUGAAGACUAACUACUGCGAAAGCAUUUGCCAAGGAUGUUUUC
Molecule: ribosomal RNA, 392 nt
Filed under: uncultured Glomeromycotina
Lineage: Eukaryota; Fungi; Glomeromycota
Description: SSU rRNA
Rfam family: Eukaryotic small subunit ribosomal RNA
Source: RNAcentral